ACGGGGAGCAGCAGGCGCGAAACCUUUACACUGCACGACAGUGCGAUAAGGGAAUCCCAAGUGCGCAGGCAUAGAGCCUGCGCUUUUGUACACCGUAGGGAGGUGUACGAAUAAGGGCUGGGCAAGACCGGUGCCAGCCGCCGCGGUAAUAUCGGCAGCCCGAGUGAUGGCCGAUCUUAUUGGGCCUAAAGCGUCCGUAGCUGGCCGCACAAGUCCAUCGGAAAAUCCACCCGCUCAACGGGUGGGCGUCCGGUGGAAACUGUGUGGCUUGGGACCGGAAGGCGCGACGGGUACGUCCGGGGUAGGAGUGAAAUCCCGUAAUCCUGGACGGACCACCGAUGGCGAAAGCACGUCGCGAGGACGGAUCCGACAGUGAGGGACGAAAGCCAGGGUCUCGAACCGGAUUAGAUACCCGGGUAGUCCUGGCCGUAAACAAUGUCUGUUAGGUGUGGCUCCCACUACGAGUGGGUGCUGUGCCGUAGGGAAGCCGCUAAACAGACCGCCUGGGAAGUACGUCCGCAAGGAUGAAACUUAAAGGAAUUGACGG
Molecule: ribosomal RNA, 547 nt
Filed under: uncultured archaeon
Lineage: Archaea
Description: bacterial SSU rRNA
Rfam family: Archaeal small subunit ribosomal RNA
Source: RNAcentral